UCAGGAUGAACGCUGGCGGCGUGCUUAACACAUGCAAGUCGAACGGAGUAUCAUGAACCUAGUGAUUGAUAACUAGUGGCGGACGGGUGAGUAACGCGUGGGUAACCUGCCUUAUACAGGGGGAUAACAGUCGGAAACGACUGCUAAUACCGCAUAAGCGCACGGAAUCGCAUGAUUCAGUGUGAAAAGAUUUAUCGGUAUAAGAUGGACCCGCGUCUGAUUAGCUAGUUGGUGAGGUAACGGCCCACCAAGGCGACGAUCAGUAGCCGGCCUGAGAGGGUGAACGGCCACAUUGGGACUGAGACACGGCCCAAACUCCUACGGGAGGCAGCAGUGGGGAAUAUUGCACAAUGGGGGAAACCCUGAUGCAAGCGACGCCGCGUGAGUGAAGAAGUAUUUCGGUAUGUAAAGCUCUAUCAGCAGGGAAGAAAAUGACGGUACCUGACUAAGAAGCCCCGGCUAACUACGUGCCAGCCGCUGC
Molecule: ribosomal RNA, 481 nt
Filed under: uncultured bacterium
Lineage: Bacteria
Description: bacterial SSU rRNA
Rfam family: Bacterial small subunit ribosomal RNA
Source: RNAcentral